GGACUACAGGGGUAUCUAAUCCUGUUUGCUCCCCACGCUUUCGCGUCUCAGCGUCAGUCACCGUCCAGAUGGCCGCCUUCGCCACCGGUGUUCUUCUCGAUAUCUACGAAUUUCACCUCUACACCGAGAGUUCCACCAUCCUCUCCGGGACUCCAGUCGCGCAGUAUCGAAUGCACUUCCUGGGUUGAGCCCAGGGCUUUCACACCCGACUUGCACGACCGCCUACACGCGCUUUACGCCCAGUAAUUCCGAACAACGUUCGCACCCUCUGUCUUACCGCGGCUGCUGGCAC
This 292-nucleotide ribosomal RNA is filed under the name uncultured bacterium. RNAcentral describes it as "partial 16S ribosomal RNA". The record is from RNAcentral.